RNAcentral lists this ribosomal RNA (373 nucleotides) under uncultured organism. RNAcentral describes it as "partial 16S ribosomal RNA". It matches the Rfam family "Bacterial small subunit ribosomal RNA", at positions 527 to 896 of the family's 1533-position model. The record is from RNAcentral.
AGAGAGUGCAAGCGUUAAUCAGAAUUACUGGGCGUAAAGCGCACGUAGGUGGGUGUUUUAGUCGAGUGUGAAAGCCCCGGGCUUAACCUGGGAAUUGCAUUCGAUACUGAACACCUAGAGUAUGGUAGAGGGAAGUGGAAUUUCCGGUGUAGCGGUGAAAUGCGUAGAUAUCGGAAGGAACACCAGUGGCGAAGGCGGCUUCCUGGACCAAUACUGACACUGAGGUGCGAAAGCGUGGGGAGCAAACAGGGAUUAGAGACCCUGGUAGUCCACGCCGUCAACGAUGAGAACUAGACGUUGGGAAGAUUUAUCUUCUUAGUGCCGUAGCUAACGCGUUAAGUUCUCCGCCUGGGGAGUACGACCCGCAAGGUUA